RNAcentral lists this ribosomal RNA (460 nucleotides) under uncultured bacterium. Its description in RNAcentral is "partial 16S ribosomal RNA". It matches the Rfam family "Bacterial small subunit ribosomal RNA", at positions 338 to 795 of the family's 1533-position model. The record is from RNAcentral.
CCUACGGGAGGCAGCAGUGAGGAAUAUUGGUCAAUGGACGCAAGUCUGAACCAGCCAUGCCGCGUGCAGGAAGACGGCUCUAUGAGUUGUAAACUGCUUUUGUACGAGGGUAAAUCCCGAUACGUGUAUCGGGUUGAAAGUAUCGUACUAAUAAUGAUCGGCUAACUCCGUGCCAGCAGCCGCGGCAAUACGGAGGAUUCAAGCGUUAUCCGGAUUCAUUGGGUUUAAAGGGUGCGUAGGCGGUUCGAUAAGUUAGAGGUGAAAUCCCGGGGCUCAACUCCGGCACUGCCUCUGAUACUGUCGGGCUAGAGUUUAGUUGCGGUAGGCGGAAUGUAUGGUGUAGCGGUGAAAUGCAUAGAGAUCAUACAGAACACCGAUUGCGAAGGCAGCUUACCAAACUACGACUGACGUUGAGGCACGAAGGCGUGGGGAGCGAACAGGAUUAGAUACCCCAGUAGUC